UUCCGGUUGAUCCUGCCGGACCCGACUGCUAUCAGAGUGAGACUAAGCCAUGCGAGUUAACGUAUGAAUAAUACGUGGCACACGGCUCAGUAACACGUAGUCAACAUGCCCAGAGGACGUGGAUAACCUCGGGAAACUGAGGAUAAACCGCGAUAGGCCAUAAUUACUGGAAUGGGUUAUGGCUUAAACCUAUAUGGCCUCUGGAUUGGACUGCGGCCGAUCAGGCUGUUGGUGAGGUAAUGGCCCACCAAACCUGUUACCGGUACGGGCUCUGAGAGGAGGAGCCCGGAGAUGGGCACUGAGACAAGGGCCCAGGCCCUAUGGGGCGCAGCAGGCGCGAAACCUCUGCAAUAGGCGAAAGCCUGACAGGGUUACUCUGAGUGAUUCCCGCUAAGGGGAUCUUUUGGCACCUCUAAAAAUGGUGCAGAAUAAGGGGUGGGCAAGUCUGGUGUCAGCCGCCGCGGUAAUACCAGCACCCCGAGUGGUCGGGACGAUUAUUGGGCCUAAAGCAUCCGUAGCCGGUCAUGCAAGUCCUCCGUUAAAUCCACCUGCUUAACAGAUGGGCUGCGGAGGAUACUACAAAGGCUAGGAGGCGGAAGAGGCAAGCGGUACUCAGUGGGUAGGGGUAAAAUCCUCUGAUCCAUUGAAGACCACCAGUGGCGAAGGCGGCUUGCCAAUACGCGCUCGACGGUGAGGGAUGAAAGCUGGGGGAGCAAACCGGAUUAGAUACCCGGGUAGUCCCAGCUGUAAACGAUGCAGACUCGGUGAUGGGCCGGCUUUAUGCCGGCUCAGUGCCGCAGGGAAGCCGUUAAGUCUGCCGCCUGGGGAGUACGGUCGCAAGACUGAAACUUAAAGGAAUUGGCGGG
This 866-nucleotide ribosomal RNA is filed under the name uncultured archaeon. RNAcentral describes it as "bacterial SSU rRNA". It matches the Rfam family "Archaeal small subunit ribosomal RNA", at positions 1 to 872 of the family's 1478-position model. The record is from RNAcentral.